GACGUAGGGCGCGAGCGUUGUCCGGAUUUAUUGGGCGUAAAGAGCUCGUAGGCGGCUUGUCGCGUCGUCCGUGAAAACCUGCGGCUCAACUGCAGGCUGGCGGUCGAUACGGGCAGGCUGGAGUUCGGUAGGGGAGACUGGAAUUCCUGGUGUAGCGGUGAAAUGCGCAGAUAUCUGGAGGAAUACCGGUGGCGAAGGCGGCAUCCUGGACCGGCAUUGACGCUGAGUGAGCGAAAGCCAGGGGAGCAAACGGG
This 254-nucleotide ribosomal RNA is filed under the name uncultured bacterium. Its description in RNAcentral is "partial 16S ribosomal RNA". It matches the Rfam family "Bacterial small subunit ribosomal RNA", at positions 524 to 776 of the family's 1533-position model. The record is from RNAcentral.